This 492-nucleotide ribosomal RNA is filed under the name uncultured bacterium. RNAcentral's name for it is "partial 16S ribosomal RNA". It matches the Rfam family "Bacterial small subunit ribosomal RNA", at positions 29 to 507 of the family's 1533-position model. The record is from RNAcentral.
AGUGAACGCUGGCGGUAGGCCUAACACAUGCAAGUCGAACGGCAGCACAGUAAGAGCUUGCUCUUACGGGUGGCGAGUGGCGGACGGGUGAGGAAUACAUCGGAAUCUACUUUUUCGUGGGGGAUAACGUAGGGAAACUUACGCUAAUACCGCAUACGAUCUACGGGUGAAAGCAGGGGAUCUUCGGACCUUGCGCGAUUGAAUGAGCCGAUGGCGGAUUAGCUAGUUGGCGGGGUAAAGGCCCACCAAGGCGACGAUCCGUAGCUGGACUGAGAGGAUGAUCAGCCACACUGGAACUGAGACACGGUCCAAACUCCUACGGGAGGCAGCAGUGGGGAAUAUUGGACAAUGGGCGCAAGCCUGAUCCAGCCAUACCGCGUGGGUGAAGAAGGCCUUCGGGUUGUAAAGCCCUGUUGUUAGAAAAGAAAAUCAGCAGGAUAAAACGCCGCUGUUCUGACGGUACCCAAAGAGUAAGCACCGGCUAACUUCGUG